RNAcentral lists this ribosomal RNA (250 nucleotides) under uncultured prokaryote. Its description in RNAcentral is "partial 16S rRNA". It matches the Rfam family "Bacterial small subunit ribosomal RNA", at positions 525 to 775 of the family's 1533-position model. The record is from RNAcentral.
ACGUAGGGGGCAAGCGUUAUCCGGAAUUACUGGGCGUAAAGCGCGCGCAGGCGGUUUUUUAAGCGGGAGGUGAAAUGCAAUAGCUUAACUAUUGUAAGCCUUGCGAACUGGAAGACUUGAGUGCAGAAGAGGAAAGUGGAAUUCCUAGUGUAGCGGUGAAAUGCGUAGAUAUUAGGAGGAACACCAGUGGCGAAGGCGGCUUUCUGGACUGUAACUGACACUGAGGCGCGAAAGCGUGGGGAGCAAACAG